This 468-nucleotide ribosomal RNA is filed under the name uncultured bacterium. RNAcentral describes it as "bacterial SSU rRNA". It matches the Rfam family "Bacterial small subunit ribosomal RNA", at positions 917 to 1382 of the family's 1533-position model. The record is from RNAcentral.
GGGCCCGCACAAGCGGUGGAGCAUGUGGUUUAAUUCGACGCAACGCGAAGAACCUUACCAGGGCUUGACAUCCUCUGACGUCCAUAGAGAUAUGGAGUUCGGUCUUCGGACUGACAGAGAGACAGGUGGUGCAUGGUUGUCGUCAGCUCGUGUCGUGAGAUGUUGGGUUAAGUCCCGCAACGAGCGCAACCCUUAUUCUUAGUUGCCAGCAUUAAGUUGGGCACUCUAAGGAGACUGCCGGUGACAAACCGGAGGAAGGUGGGGAUGACGUCAAAUCAUCAUGCCCUUUAUGUCCUGGGCUACACACGUGCUACAAUGGCCUGUACAGAGGGUAGCGAAGCUGCGAAGCGGAGCCAAUCCCAAAAAGCAGGUCUCAGUUCGGAUUGCAGGCUGCAACUCGCCUGCAUGAAGUCGGAAUCGCUAGUAAUCGCGAAUCAGCAUGUCGCGGUGAAUACGUUCCCGGGCCUU